UACAGAGGGGGCAAGCGUUAUUCGGAAUUAUUGGGCGUAAAGGGCGCGUAGGCGGCUUUGCAAGUGGCGGGUGAAAUCCCUCGGCUUAACCGAGGAACUGCCUGUCAAACUGCAUGGCUUGAGACCAGGAGAGGUGAGUGGAAUUCCCAGUGUAGCGGUGAAAUGCGUAGAUAUUGGGAGGAACACCAGUGGCGAAGGCGGCUCACUGGACUGGUACUGACGCUGAGGCGCGAAAGCGUGGGGAGCAAACAGG
Molecule: ribosomal RNA, 253 nt
Filed under: uncultured bacterium
Lineage: Bacteria
Description: partial 16S ribosomal RNA
Rfam family: Bacterial small subunit ribosomal RNA
Source: RNAcentral